AGAGGCUGUCGCUGGCCCCCUCUUGGGGGGUAAAGUGCACGUCUCUUCCUUUAU
Molecule: ribosomal RNA, 54 nt
Filed under: Amanita esculenta
Lineage: Eukaryota; Fungi; Basidiomycota; Agaricomycetes; Agaricales; Amanitaceae
Description: partial 18S ribosomal RNA
Source: RNAcentral